GAAGUUAAAGGCUGUGGCUUANCCAUAGUACGCUUUGGAAACUGUUUAACUUGAGUGCAGAAGGGGAGAGUGGAAUUCCAUGUGUAGCGGUGAAAUGCGUAGAUAUAUGGAGGAACACCGGUGGCGAAAGCGGCUCUCUGGUCUGUAACUGACGCUGAGGCUNGAAAGCGUGGGGAGCGAACAGGAUUAGAUACCCUGGUAGUNCACGCCGUAAACGAUGAGUGCUAGGUGUUAGGCCCUUUCCGGGGCUUAGUGCCGCAGCUAACGCAUUAAGCACUCCGCCUGGGGAGUACGACCGCAAGGUUGAAACUCAAAGGAAUUGACGGGGGCCCGCACAAGCGGUGGAGCAUGUGGUUUAAUUCGAAGCAACGCGAAGAACCUUACCAGGUCUUGACAUCCCGAUGCCCGCUCUAGAGAUAGAGUUUUACUUCGGUACAUCGGUGACAGGUGGUGCAUGGUUGUCGUCAGCUCGUGUCGUGAGAUGUUGGGUUAAGUCCCGCAACGAGCGCAACCCUUAUUGUUAGUUGCCAUCAUUCAGUUGGGCACUCUAGCGAGACUGCCGGUAAUAAACCGGAGGAAGGUGGGGAUGCCGUCAAAUCAUCGUGCCCCUUAUGACCUGGGCUACACACGUGCUACAAUGGCUGGUACAACGAGUCGCAAGUCGGUGACGGCAAGCUAAUCUCUUAAAGCCAGUCUCAGUUCGGAUUGUAGGCUGCAACUCGCCUACAUGAAGUCGGAAUCGCUAGUAAUCGCGGAUCAGCACGCCGCGGUGAAUACGUUCCCGGGCCUUGUACACACCGCCCGUCACACCACGAGAGUUUGUAACACCCGAAGUCGGUGAGGUAACCUUUUAGGAG
Molecule: ribosomal RNA, 857 nt
Filed under: uncultured bacterium
Lineage: Bacteria
Description: bacterial SSU rRNA
Rfam family: Bacterial small subunit ribosomal RNA
Source: RNAcentral